CGGUGUCGAAGCUAAGCAGCCUAACUCUGCUAUCCGCAAGUGCGUUCGUGUCCAGCUCAUCAAGAACGGAAAGAAGAUCACCGCCUUCGUCCCAAAUGACGGUUGCUUGAACUUUGUUGAAGAAAACGACGAAGUGCUCGUAUCUGGUUUCGGACGUUCCGGUCACGCCGUCGGAGAUAUUCCCGGAGUUCGUUUCAAGAUCGUGAAGGUCGCCAACACCUCCCUCAUCGCCCUGUUCAAGGGAAAGAAGGAGAGACCACGUUCGUAA
RNAcentral lists this unclassified non-coding RNA (268 nucleotides) under Caenorhabditis elegans. RNAcentral describes it as "Non-coding transcript of protein-coding gene rps-23". The record is from RNAcentral. Lineage: Eukaryota; Metazoa; Nematoda; Chromadorea; Rhabditida; Rhabditidae.